Anguilla rostrata (American eel) is the source of this 794-nucleotide long non-coding RNA. RefSeq lists it as uncharacterized. NCBI's taxonomy places the organism in Eukaryota, Metazoa, Chordata, Actinopteri, Anguilliformes, Anguillidae. The record is from RefSeq and is a predicted model, not a curated record. The transcript has 3 exons.
CAAAGCCGUCCCCAUCUAGAACUAAAUUAUAUAAUAUUAAACUAGAAAAGCGAUAUCGCGGAAACGAGACGUGAGAAUUAGCUAAUAGACGAGAGCGAGCGCAACCUACCUCAUACUCCUCCAGUUCCUCUACUAGGAUCUGCAAAGCAACACAGUACUUUUCGUUAGCCAACUAGCAAGCCGCUCUGUAUAUACCUUCUUUAGAAAAGUAAUCGAAACAACAAUUCGACUUGACUUAUCUUUCCGCUUACCUGUGCCGAUUUUUUGCACGGUCCCGACUGGAGAAAUCUAGCAAUGAGUUUGAAUGGGCACAGCGCCACUGGUUCCCACUACCCCCUUAGAGACCCAACCUGGUUCGCUCAGUCUGGCUCCCAGAAAAUCACUCCUCCCCACCCAUGGGGAUGUAUGCAAAAUGGUGGCAGUAUGUCCUUCAGAUGAGGGCUACACAGGUGCACCGCCAGGCGACGAUUGAGGAUUCUGCCUGCCCAAGCAGCUGAUCCACACAGGAUUCCCCAGCAGUCCACAAGCCUCCAGACUUCUGUGGCAAGUCAUUCAGCAUUGUGACUGGCAGACCUCAAACAGACAUAUUCUCCAGGAAACGACCCGUUUCCCAUGAGCCAGGGAAGAGCGGGAUGCAAGUGUUAUAGCAGAGAUCAAGCCCAAUGGAAACAACUUAAGGAGGCGUGCAACAGUAUAUUCCUUUUGAAAUCAUUUGAAUAAUUACUUCACAAGGAUGCUUUGCAUGUGGUUUGGCACAAAAUGUACAAUUGCUUACAUCCAUUGGCUAUGAUCUG